GACUGCUGAUAUUAAUGAGUUUUUGGAAUACGAGAGAUCUUCGGCUAUUUUGCUAUUUUGAUAGUUGUGAAAUCAUCAUUGGGCUGUCGUUUUGGUAAGAUAAUUCGACGUCCAGGAUAUUUGGACGAUUUGAUUCUGACUAGUAGAUCUUGACCACAUGUCCAAAUAUCAUUGGAUCGGAGCUGUUCACACAGAUAAUGGUGAGAUGGCAUGAUCUGGGAGCAGAUGUGUCGAACCG
RNAcentral lists this long non-coding RNA (238 nucleotides) under Elaeis guineensis (African oil palm). RNAcentral's name for it is "long non-coding RNA (EGUI_LNC003244)". The record is from RNAcentral. Lineage: Eukaryota; Viridiplantae; Streptophyta; Magnoliopsida; Arecales; Arecaceae.